Molecule: ribosomal RNA, 249 nt
Filed under: uncultured bacterium
Lineage: Bacteria
Description: partial 16S ribosomal RNA
Rfam family: Bacterial small subunit ribosomal RNA
Source: RNAcentral
AGCGAACGCUGGCGGCAGGCUUAACACAUGCAAGUCGAGCGGGCGUAGCAAUACGUCAGCGGCAGACGGGUGAGUAACGCGUGGGAACGUACCUUUGGUUCGGAACAACACAGGGAAACUUAGUGCUAAUACCGGAUAAGCCCUUACGGGGAAAGGAUUUAUCGCCGAAAGAUCGGCCCGCGUCUGAUUAGCUAGUUGGUGUGGUAACGGCGCACCAAGGCGACGAUCAGUAGCUGGCUGAGAGGAUGA